Non-coding RNA from Pimephales promelas (fathead minnow), 538 nucleotides. The record is from RefSeq and is a predicted model, not a curated record. Lineage: Eukaryota; Metazoa; Chordata; Actinopteri; Cypriniformes; Leuciscidae.
UUUCCGCAUUGACAGUGACUUGGUUCCUGUGUGUCCAUAUGGCGUGUGGCUGUAGCGCAGUGGAUUGUGGGUAGGUCCUCGGGUCGGCCAUUAGCAGUGUUUCUCCGCGGCUGAAGGAGAGGACAGAGUCAUGACGGGAUUCAGAGGUUUCGCUCAUCUCUCCACUCCUACAACGGAGGCAGAGUGGAGAGAGGUGGCAAUGGGAUUUGAAAACAAGUGGCAAUUUCCUAAUUGCUUAGGAGCCAUAGAUGGAAAGCACAUCUACAUCCAGCCACCUGCAAACUCUGGAAGUACUUACCACAACUACAAGUCCAGAUUUUCUGUUGUAAACGACGCAGAUCACAGAUUUAUUUAUGCUAAUGUUGGCGUACAAGGAAGAGAGGUCUGCUGAGCCAGAGCCACUACCAGGGAGCAACACAUCUUAUGCAUUUGUUGGUGAUGAAGCUUUCCCUGUCCGAAUCGACCUGACGAAGCCAUACCCCUUCCGAAAUACGGAUCAUGGGCAGCGAAUGUUCAACUACAGGCUGUCAGGGGAAAG